AGUGAACGCUGGCGGUAGGCCUAACACAUGCAAGUCGAACGGCAGCACAGUAGGAGCUUGCUCUUACGGGUGGCGAGUGGCGGACGGGUGAGGAAUACAUCGGAAUCUACUUUUUCGUGGGGGAUAACGUAGGGAAACUUACGCUAAUACCGCAUACGACCUACGGGUGAAAGCAGGGGAUCUUCGGACCUUGCGCGAUUGAAUGAGCCGAUGUCGGAUUAGCUAGUUGGCGGGGUAAAGGCCCACCAAGGCGACGAUCCGUAGCUGGUCUGAGAGGAUGAUCAGCCACACUGGAACUGAGACACGGUCCAGACUCCUACGGGGGGCAGCAGUGGGGAAUAUUGGACAAUGGGCGCAAGCCUGAUCCAGCCAUACCGCGUGGGUGAAGAAGGCCUUCGGGUUGUAAAGCCCUUUUGUUGGGAAAGAAAAGCAGCAGGUUAAUACCCCGCUGUUCUGACGGUACCCAAAGAAUAAGCACCGGCUAACUUCGUG
RNAcentral lists this ribosomal RNA (492 nucleotides) under uncultured bacterium. RNAcentral describes it as "partial 16S ribosomal RNA". It matches the Rfam family "Bacterial small subunit ribosomal RNA", at positions 29 to 507 of the family's 1533-position model. The record is from RNAcentral.